GCUUAUGGCCAUACCACCUUGUCUGCGCUCGAUCUCGUCUGAGCUCGGAAGCUAAGCAGGCUCGGGUCUGAUUAGUACUGGGAUAGGAGACCGUCUGGGAAUACCAGGUGCUGUAAGAU
RNAcentral lists this ribosomal RNA (119 nucleotides) under Sinocyclocheilus rhinocerous. The record is from RNAcentral. Lineage: Eukaryota; Metazoa; Chordata; Actinopteri; Cypriniformes; Cyprinidae.